Molecule: ribosomal RNA, 305 nt
Filed under: uncultured bacterium
Lineage: Bacteria
Description: bacterial SSU rRNA
Rfam family: Bacterial small subunit ribosomal RNA
Source: RNAcentral
CUUUCCUACGGGGGGCAGCAGUGAGGAAUAUUGGUCAAUGGGCGGGAGCCUGAACCAGCCAAGUCGCGUGAGGGAAGACGGUCCUAUGGAUUGUAAACCUCUUUAGGCGGGGAGCAAUGCCGGGCACGCGUGCCCGGAGGGAGAGUACCCGCAGAAUAAGCAUCGGCUAACUCCGUGCCAGCAGGCGCGGUAAUACGGAGGAUGCGAGCGUUAUCCGGAUUUAAUGGGUUUAAAGGGUGCGUAGGCGGAAGUUUAAGUCAGCGGUAAAAUGUCAGGGCUCAAGCCGGGCCGGCAGGUGCAACGGG